This is a long non-coding RNA of Aedes albopictus (Asian tiger mosquito), 4195 nucleotides long. RefSeq lists it as uncharacterized. The transcript has 2 exons. The record is from RefSeq and is a predicted model, not a curated record. Lineage: Eukaryota; Metazoa; Arthropoda; Insecta; Diptera; Culicidae.
GCCAAUUAGUCUUGUAGCGGUUUUUAAAAAGCAUGAUACCUUUAAUUUAAGUUUUAUGAUGGUUGUUUGAUGGGGUCUCCAGUUACCCUAGUGGUUAAGGUCAUGGAUCGCCAAUCCGAAAACGGCGGGUUCGAUUCCCGUUCCGGUCGAGAAAAUUUUCUCGACUCCCUGGACAUAGAGUAUCAUUGUACUUGCCACACAAUGUUACAAAAUACAUGCAAUGGCAGGCAAAGAAAGCCCUUCAAUUAAAAACUGUGGAAGUGCUCUAAGAACACUAAGUUUAAGAAAAACAGGCCUAAUUCCAAUGCGAACGUCGAGCCAUAAAGAAGAAGAAGAAGAUGGUUGUUUGAACCUGUUCUAGUCUAUUUGAAAAAAAAAAAUAAAGCCUUACUUUUCCAAACACCGUAUGUAACAUAUGUAAACAAAAAAAAAUUCACAUCAGGUGCUGAAUGUCGUUAAGGACUACUUGUAUCACUCGCCUUUGGGGAUGAUUUUUGAAAAAAAUACCCGGAUUUUACACGUUUUUGAAACGCUCAAUGUAUGAGUUGCUAUGGGAACAGCGAACUUCACCUUCGAUUUUCUCCGUUCGUGGAUUUUGUUAAUGUUACUUGGGAAAUACCUAUUCCAUGAUAACGUUAAACAUCUUUCUGACAUUGAUUUUAAGAAAUAAUUGAAGUUAGAGCGGUGAGACAGAGACAGGAUGCGUAGCAAAAUAACAUGUAUUGCCCAGCUGUCACAGAUCUCGCGAUUUUCGCGGAUUUGACUGAAUUGGGACGCGACAGAUGCGGAUUCUUUAAAAUCAAUCUUGUUGUAUAAAUUUCAACUUACACUAAGGCAACAUUCAAAAUAACAAAUUAAAAGAUAGAUGUUAGCCUGCGAGCAGUAUUUAAAAUUUGUAUAUCUUUUGAAGAUCCGAUCAACCCGAAACUUUACUAGGGUAAGAAAUCAAACUUUGAACUAGUCAAAUUGUAAUCUUAAUUUGAACCAUUUCAAAAUUCAUUAAAACGACGUUCUUUUUAGGCAAAUAUUGUCCCGAAAAAGAUGUUAAACAGCUUUCCGUAAUAUAACCUGAUAACAUGGACUUAAAAAGCAUUGAAAAAAAGGGUUUUGUCAUGGAAAACAGGCAAUUGAAAAAUCACUGUGAUUUCACCCAUUUCCCCCCAGAGAAAGCACAUUUUCGGUGCACUCGUACAGCUCAUGCAUUGUAUGACACGCAAUAUGUGAACACGUCAAAUGAAAGCUUAUUUAUCGUAGAAUCGAUCAACCGAAUAAUAUUCCGCAUUAUUUGUCAUAAAAUUAUCAAAUUUAAGUAAUUCUUACUUGGAGAAUGUUAUCUUAAGUUGAACCAUUUGUAAUCUAAAUUUGAACUAGUAAACGGGGGCGAGCUUCCAGUGUUGGCCAGCAGACUACGCUAGUGGUUGUUUUGUUUUCCUUGGAGAUGAAAAAUUCCAAAUUUAGUUUCCAAGUUCCUGAAGAGUUUAGAACAUUGUUAGUUGAAAUUCCACUGCCUAAAAAAAAGACACAGACACGUUUAAUGCUUCCAGUGAGCUAUUUGCUCUUUGAAGGAAGCACGACACUAGACAACGGACUAGCAUGCAACGCCCAGUGGCACAGCCGAAAACUUUUUCUGACAGCUGCGGCGGGAAUCGAACCCGCGCUCCUUAGCACGAUGCGACUAAAGGCUUGGUGACCUUAGCCGCACGACCACGAAGCCUAAUGAAAAAUAGUUAUGGGAAUUAGCAAAUCCAUGUGUUUUUCUAUUGUUCAGCACGAAAUUGGCUGUUUUGGGAGAUGAUCGAGCUGCUGCCGCCAGUAGGUCAAAUUAAGGUUAAAAUUGGUUCAAAUUAAGAUUAAAAUCAUUGUUGACGAAUAAUCGAAUUUUUCAAUGAAAUUCGGUGCAAGUAUAAACUUUUUACCACUUAACAGAAAGCUUAUAUCCGUGGCUUUCAUGUACAUAAGAUUUUGCCGUAGUAAAUUAUUUCCAUGUGGGAGAAAAAAUCACUCAAAAUUUGCGCUACUUCGGAAAGCCGCAAUUUGGUUCAAUUUUUGAUUACCUACCUUAACCCUCUAAUACCCAAAUUUUUGAUUUUGAUCUAAAUAUUAUUUUUCGUCAUCUAAAAUCGAUUUAAACAUGUUUUGGAAGAUGAUUCUUUUCAAUUCUCGAUUUCGUGAAUUUCAGUUUUUGAUUUUUCUAAUUUUUAUUUUUGAACAUCCCCACACUUUUAUAUUUUUCCUGGAAGUCAAUUUGGGGAACGGAUUUUUUGAGAUGAAAACAUUUUGAGAUUUUAUAAUUAUUGUUGAAAAAUUAUUAUUUUAAAUUAUUUUCAUAGAAAAUUUUAUUUUCCGUGUAAUUUUAAGGAAAAUAAUUUUAGAGUGUAUUCGGUUCCCUUAAGGCGAAACUGGAACCAUUUCCUCACUUUUUGGUUUUUGAUUUUUUAUAAAAUAACGAAGCCAUAUUUUCAAAAUCGGUUUUCGUACACAUGUAGAGUAUAGAUCAAGGUAUCUCCUGAUUUUUUUUCGUGGUGGAAAAUGAUUUUCGUUUUUGCAGAAACCAUUUUUGAAUAAAAUUUCACAAAAAAAUGGUUUCUGUAAAAAUGGAAAACUUUUUCCACCUUAAAAAAAAUCAGAAGAUACCUUGAUCCAUACCCGACAUGUGUACGAAAACCGAUUUUGAAAAUAUUGCUUCGUUAUUUUAUUAAAAAUCAAAAACCAAAAAAAUGAGAAAAUGCUUCCAGUUUCGCCUUAAACUAUUAAACAAGGAUAGAAUGAUUUGGGAAAAAUUUAAAAUAUGUUAAUUGUAGCGAUUCAAUGCAAAAUAAACAAUAACUUCUAAAAGGUGACUGAAACAUCAAUUUGUCAAUGAGUUUUUAAAAAUGUAAAUACGCUUUAAAAUACACCAAAAACCAUUUUGAGAUAUACAGAACAGUUCUAAAUAUCAGCCAAAAAUAUAAAAAAAAUGAUUUUCCACGAAACAAAAAUUACAAAAACGCUCAAACUAUACCUCGUCUAAAGGCGGGAUUGGGUAUUAGAGGGUUGACAUUAUUCCAAGCCUAACUGAGAGCUGUUUCAACGAUUUCUAGCAGAAUUUCUCCCGGCAUUUCUUCCAUAAGUUCUCUCUGUAUGCUUCCAUAGUUUUUCGUUGGAUUAUUGAUUAUAUAACGAGGCCGCAUCUUAAAUUUUUAAAAGCACAAAUCUGAGCUGAAAAGUAGAUCGAUUGGUUACCCGCUGAUGGUGACUAAUCUAUCAACUUUUCAGCUCGGCGCGAUACUUGGACCUUCUGAUUUGUGCCUUUGAAAAUGCAAGGUUCAUUCUAUAAUCCAGCUAUAACAAGCUUUCCAACAGUUUCUCCCGUGUUUUUUUUUGCGUGAUUUCCUUCCGAAUUUUUUUAUGGGAUCUUACCCGCUGAUUCUCCCGGAAUUUUUCUUAGAGGUUUUUAGAGUUGGGUCCACCUUGGAUUUUCUAAAUAUUUCCUCCCAAGAUUACUUCCAGACUUUCGAAUUGUCCCAGUUUUUGUUACGACGUUUUUCUCGAGAUUUCUUCAACAGGUCUACCGUUUCUCGAAAGAUUCCACCAGGAUUCCUUCCGACAUUGCUCUAGGAUUUUCUUACGAUGAAUUUUGUAGGUUAUCUCAGGAGCUAUUUUAGGAAAUACUUAUGGAAAAAUCCAUGCUACUAUAAGAUAAAUCCCAAAAGAAAUACCCACGAUACAAUUAUCGUUAGGGAUUCCGGAAAGAAUUUGUGGAGCCUCGUGUUCGUGCGGUUAGCGUCACAAAGCGUAUAACCAUACCAUGCCAUGUGGAGAGGUUUCGAUUCCCGUUCCGAGUGAUGAAACUUUUUGCAAGAUAUGUUUCUUCCUCGUAUCUACUGGUGCUCGUAAUGUGUGUCGCGUCCGUUGUCUAGUGUUAAGCUUCGUUCAGUCUGUACAGCCUCUGGCUGAAGACGGUGUUCUUGUCUAUUUUUAAGAAUUCUGGAAGAAAUCGUGAGAAAAAAACGAGAGAAAUCUCAGGCAAAACUUCAAAUAGAAUCCGUGAGAACCUUUACACUUGAAAAACAGUCGUGUGAUCGGCUUUUCGCGCACAGUUGACUACUCAGCCUCAGUAAAAUUUACGUUUGUGAGCUGAUUCUCAGCAAAACAGUUGCCGAAUCUUAGUAAUGAACUGUCAAAGUUGCUGAGAUCUCGAUAUGGGUGUUGUUAA